UUGUACACCAAGAUAACUUUUACCUAUUUUUUUGUAACUUUAACCUAGUUUUGAUUAACUUUUAUAUUAGUAAAAAAAUGUAGAUAGAUAAACAUUUUAAAGAGUUAAAUGAUUAAUUUUAUAAAUUAUUAGUGAUUUUGAAGAAACAAUUUUUAUUAAAAUGAAAAAAUUUAUCAAUAAAAAUUGGAUAACUUUUACAUAUAUAAGUUUAACUUUUAGACAUUUUGAGUUAACUUUUACUUUGGUGUACAAUAUUUAUUGUACAACCAUUGUAAAUAAGAAUUUGUGUUACCACUUCCACUUUACCAUUAUCAAAUUAUCAUUCAUUUCUUUAGCUUCCGAGACUCUGAGUUCCGCCUUCCUGCUUUCCUAAUGAACUCUCCAUAACUCCAUAUUCCCAUGAUCUCAAUUCUCAAACCAUGAUUUCAUUUUCCAAUCACCUUAUAUAUUUAAUUUAUAACUCCCUAAAUUCCAACAUCUCAAACCUAAAUCCUAAAUUCCCAAUAUCAAUCCCAAAUGUGAAAUUAAUUUCUCAAAAUCAUCAUGCAACAAGAAGAUCUGAAUAAUCCUAACUUUCAUUCUUCUACAGAAAGUACAGAUGGAAAUACAAAUCAAAAUUGACCAAGAGGCGAGGCGGCAAUUUCCUUAGAGCGAGUACCGGGAAAGAGGAAGAGACCUUCAUGGGUCUGGAAGCACUUUGAUAUUCAUAUUGAUCAGAAUUCUAAAAAGCCAAUUGGAAUUUGCAAGUACUAUAAGUCUGCAAGUUAUAAUGCUUCCUCACGUUCUGGUACAUCUAAUUUUAGUAGACAUUUAGAAACUUGUAUCAAUUAUAAGAGUGCACAUGAAAAUGAAAAUGAAAAUGACAAGUCUGGAAAGCCAAUUGAUCAAAAUGUCUACCGUAGUAGGCCAUUAGCAGAGGCUAUAAUGAUUAAUGAGGCAUGGGUAUUCUUUUUCUUGGGUGGAACAUGAAAAUAAUAGAAAAAUCCAUAAAUAUCUUAAUGACAAUGUUGAACCAAUAUCUAGAAAUACUGCUAAAAGGAUUUGGAUUUGGAUUUGGAUUUGGAUUUGCUUAGAGUUACAUGUUGAUUUAAAGGAGAAGAUUAAGAGUGUCUUACUAGGGGUUCCUGGAAGAAUAUGUCUCACUUCUGAUAUAUAUAUAUAUAUCGGUUUUUUCAUGAAAUGCCCCCGAGGUUUGCAAAAACGCACCAAAUACCCUCGCGUCUUUUGAAUCACAUAAUAUACCCCUAUUUUUGCGUACUGUUCAUGAGAUGCACCUUUGAGUUAACGGCGUUAGUCUGCCGUUAGUCGUGUUUUACUAUUUUACCCUUAAUACGUAUUUUUCGACAUAAAUUCCAAAAAAAAAAAAAUAUCUCAACUUCUUUCUCUUUCUCUUUCUCUCUCCUCUCCGAUGUUCUUCCUCCUGCUCUCUGGUCGCCGGCGGCGUCCGACUCCUGCUCUCUGACCGUCGACGAAAGUCGAUCCUCUCCUUCCCCUUUCCGACGUCCUUAUUCGCCGCUGUCGAAUUUGCCCGUCGUGAGGUUCCACUCUCUCCUUCUCUCCUUGACUAGAUUGGAAUUGCAUUUAUUGAUUUGUGUUGAAUGUUGUUGCCGUCAUUGUUGUUGGUUUUUGUUGUUAUUGUUUUCAAUUUUCUGGUUGUUGUUGUUGGGAAUUCAUGGACUAUUAGAGUAAAUUUAUUGUUUUUUUCGAAUCAAAACAUAAUCCAUUUGCUGCUAUUUAUUGAUUUCAGUGUUGAUUGUUGUUGUUUUUUCUUGCCAUUGUUGUUGUUGCUGUCAAUUUUCUGGUUGUUGUUGUUGUCGGUGGAAGUGAUAGACUAUUAGAGUAAAUUGCUUCAAGUUCGUCUCAUUGUUUAGUUGGUUGAAAAUUCAUCAAUUUUCAUUGAAUUAAUGUAUUUAAGGAACGUUAUUUGAGGAGAGUGAGAGAAUUGUUUUUGGGUUUUCAACUAUGGUUCCAAAUUUGGAGUUUCGGUAUUCUCAUUUCUGUGAACAAGGGUUGAAUUAGUUUUGUUCAUGAAAAAUUGCACUUCUUACGGUGACCUGUGAUUCUGUAGCUCAGUAGAUGACUGGGGGAGUGCAAUUUCCAUUAUACACUGCUCUAGCUACACCCAAGGCUACUUUUUCUCCCCCAAAUGAACAGGUAAUAGCUGUAGGUUCAUGGAUGUAUAUGAGCACUCUUGAACCUUUGCUAUAUUCCUGAAGAUGAAAUAGUAGAGUUAGCUACUUGGCUUCACAACACAUGUUUGAUAAGGCUAAAAGUUGGGUUGUUAAUUACAUGUGUAUGAGAAAAUAUGUUGAUCGGACUGACUUUAUAACUGAUCAAUAUGCAAAGUUUAAAGAAUAGUGGGUGGAUAUUGUUAAGUUCAAUAAAGUUGAACCAAUAUGGAACUACCGAAUUAUUGAGACUAAUUUUGAUGAUUCUUUGAGCUUGAUUUCUCUUAUGUUGCAAGAGAAUAUUUGUUUAUAUCAGAAUAAUACCUUCGUGAAAAUUUUGUACAAGAUAGAACCUGCUGUGAGGCUUUCAGUAGAUGCUUGAGGUUGGUGCUAAUGGUACUUUUUUGUGUGUUGCAGUGCCGCACCUGCUGCAAGAAUGUGUAUGACUAGUAUGCAUUUGUUUAUGCAUUUCUUUUCGCUCAGAAGGUUUCUUAGGUUCACGUUUCGCAGCCCAAGCUCGAAGAGGAGGUUCAAAGUGUUUGCUGGCAACAUCAGGUGGAGGUAAAUCUUGGCAAGUACAAGAAGACAUUUCUCCCUAAGCAAAGAAGGCUUGUUGUAACAAGUGUUCCACAAUGAAUCAACCAGUUACCUAUCAAGUUCCUCGAACAGUUGCAUCAAGUUCAAUUCAAUCAAUUUCUUAUUGGAUUUGUUGUUUGAGCAUCUCAAUUUUCUUUGAUUAUUACUUCUAUUUCAUGUUUUAGGUUUAACUUUUUGGUUGAUUAAUUUGAUUAAUUAGGUGAA
Molecule: long non-coding RNA, 2969 nt
Organism: Spinacia oleracea (spinach)
Lineage: Eukaryota; Viridiplantae; Streptophyta; Magnoliopsida; Caryophyllales; Amaranthaceae
Exons: 2
Source: RefSeq, a predicted model, not a curated record